Molecule: ribosomal RNA, 518 nt
Filed under: uncultured bacterium
Lineage: Bacteria
Description: bacterial SSU rRNA
Rfam family: Bacterial small subunit ribosomal RNA
Source: RNAcentral
AGAGUUUGAUUAUGGCUCAGGAUGAACGCUAGCUACAGGCUUAACACAUGCAAGUCGAGGGGCAGCAUUGGAGUAGCAAUACUUCAGAUGGCGACCGGCGCACGGGUGAGUAACACGUAUCCAACCUGCCGCUUACUCGGGGAUAGCCUUUCGAAAGAAAGAUUAAUACCCGAUGGUAUAAAGAGUUCGCAUGUUCUCUUUAUUAAAGAAUUUCGGUAAGCGAUGGGGAUGCGUUCCAUUAGAUAGUUGGCGGGGUAACGGCCCACCAAGUCUACGAUGGAUAGGGGUUCUGAGAGGAAGGUCCCCCACAUUGGAACUGAGACACGGUCCAAACUCCUACGGAAGGCAGCAGUGAGGAAUAUUGGUCAAUGGACGCGAGUCUGAACCAGCCAAGUAGCGUGAAGGAUGACUGCCCUAUGGGUUGUAAACUUCUUUUAUAAGGGAAUAAAGUGAGGGACGUGUCCCUUUUUGUAUGUACCUUAUGAAUAAGGAUCGGCUAACUCCGUGCCAGCAGCAGC